UCCAUAGGUUAAUGAGGCGAACCGGGGGAACUGAAACAUCUAAGUACCCCGAGGAAAAGAAAUCAACCGAGAUUCCCCCAGUAGCGGCGAGCGAACGGGGAGGAGCCCAGAGCCUGAAUCAGCAUGUGUGUUAGUGGAAGCGUCCGGAAAGGCGCGCGAUACAGGGUGACAGCCCCGUACACAAAAGCGCAUAUGCUGUGAGCUCGAUGAGUAGGGCGGGACACGUGGUAUCCUGUCUGAAUAUGGGGGGACCAUCCUCCAAGGCUAAAUACUCCUGACUGACCGAUAGUGAACCAGUACCGUGAGGGAAAGGCGAAAAGAACCCCGGCGAGGGGAGUGAAAAAGAACCUGAAACCGUGUACGUACAAGCAGUGGGAGCACAGGUUUACCUGUGUGACUGCGUACCUUUUGUAUAAUGGGUCAGCGACUUAUAU
Molecule: ribosomal RNA, 434 nt
Filed under: Salmonella enterica subsp. enterica serovar Abony
Lineage: Bacteria; Pseudomonadati; Pseudomonadota; Gammaproteobacteria; Enterobacterales; Enterobacteriaceae
Description: partial 23S ribosomal RNA
Rfam family: Bacterial large subunit ribosomal RNA
Source: RNAcentral